RNAcentral lists this long non-coding RNA (1037 nucleotides) under Ictidomys tridecemlineatus (thirteen-lined ground squirrel). RNAcentral's name for it is "lncRNA (ENSSTOG00000030764.1)". Lineage: Eukaryota; Metazoa; Chordata; Mammalia; Rodentia; Sciuridae. The record is from RNAcentral.
GAAAGUCAGAAGAGAGAGAGAGAGAGAGAGAGAGAGAGAGAGAGAGAGAGCCAAAUCCUGAACAAGGCCAGCUUUAGCCAGCACGAUAUGGGAAGUCUGCUUAACCCUUACAAGGAAAAGAACUUUGAAAUGACCAAUUGCUAUUCUUUCCUUGUUUUUGCUUUCUUCAACCUCUUCAUGUCUAAUCUGGACACAAAACUGCCCUUCCUUCUUAUGACUUCUUUUUCUUUGGGCAUCUGAUGCUCUUGGCAUACUCUUGUGAGUAAAAUCACCUUCCUUCUCUAUGUGUUAAUUAUUGCAUUUAUUCAUUUAGUGGGGAAAAAUGGGUGGUAUGGACUGUUUAUGCCCCCGCCCCCGAAAAUGAAUAUGAUGAAACCCAAACCUCCAGUACCUCUGAAUGUGACUGUAUUUGAAUCUAGAGUCUUUAAAGAGGUAAUUAAGGUUAAAUGAGGCCAUUAGGGUGGAGCUAGCCUAAUCUGAGUGCGUCCUUAGAAAAAGAGGAAAUUGGGGCACACAGGACACAAGGAUGUUCUUGCCUAGAGGAAGGGCCACAUGAAGACCCAGAAAGAAGAUAGACAUCUAAUCCUGGGGCAGGGAAGAAGGCUCAGAAAAAACUAGCCCUGCUAACAAUUUGGUCUUGCACUUUCAGCUUUGGAACUGUGAGAAAAUCCAUUUCUGCUGUUAAAGCCAUGAGGGCUGUGGUUCUUCGUUAUGGCAGCUCUAGGACACUAACACAGUAAGAAAAAAAUAAAACCCUUUUUGUUUUUCAUAGAAUCAGCUCUUUGAAAGGAGUAUCUAGUUAAUGACACGGAAUAGUCCAGCAGCUUUCCACAGCUUCUAUCUUUUGGUUUGUUGUAGAAAAGCUUUAACCUGAGAGAUUUUUCCAACCUAAAAUGAUUCUUGGUCUUUCACUUUCAUGAUUUAACUGCUACUUUAUAUAGUUUUUCUGAAACUGUAGUAGGUGUUUCCAGGCCAAGAAAGAUGGACAUCUCUCUAGAUGACAAUGAACCUUUAAAUUAAAGAAAAAAAAAUGUUUU